CAUUCACGGAGAGUUUGAUCCUGGCUCAGGACGAACGCUGGCGGCGUGCUUAACACAUGCAAGUCGAACGAUG
RNAcentral lists this ribosomal RNA (73 nucleotides) under Streptomyces sp. cf386. RNAcentral describes it as "16S rRNA. Bacterial SSU". It matches the Rfam family "Bacterial small subunit ribosomal RNA", at positions 1 to 71 of the family's 1533-position model. RNAcentral also lists the same sequence under 1 other name. Lineage: Bacteria; Bacillati; Actinomycetota; Actinomycetes; Kitasatosporales; Streptomycetaceae. The record is from RNAcentral.